GUUUUUCACCGUAAUUUAUUCAUAUUUCUCUUGAGUCCAGUUAAAAGUCUCAUUCCUUACAGAGAAGGAAAGUUAGCAAAGAGCUUGAAGAAGUUGAUAAUGGAGGUGUUAAAGUGAUUUAUUAUGUGCGCCAACUGAUAUAGUAUAAUUUGCUAAACCUAAGUUCCAAAAUGGUUAUUCGUAUUUCAUUUGCAGUAAGUCAGAUUGCUUAUUAUCUUUGUUUUUUGUAUGUACCUUUAAGCUGUUAAAGUGAUUUGUUUCUAGGAACUCAGAAACUUUGUUGCUUUCAUUUGGAACAAGAUAAACUUGAUUGCUGAAUUGAAGGUUUAAAUAUUGGGUUUGAAUCUUUAAAUAUCCGUACCGUUUUUUUAGUUUAUUGUAGCAGUGGACUUUUUAAAACUUUUGCUUAUAAACUGUCGAUUUUGGUAGUGUUCAUCUCAAACGGGUCAACAAAUAUUUCUGUUUAGCAAAAAAGUAUACAUAUAUAUACAUAUAGAAAGGAAUUGUCUUCAAAUAGGUUGAUGUAUCUAAUAGUUGUUUAAGUUGAUUUCAGAGGCAUACAACAUUUAGUUUAUUUUAUCUAUGCUUGUUGAUCACUAUUGUAAUAAUUAUUGUUUUCAUAAAUUAAUUAGUGUAUUAGUCUAUGUAAAACUUUGGUAAAUGUAUGAUAGGUCAAUUUGUAAACUUGAGGUUUGCCCCCAUGAAACUCUAUAUCUGUUUGAAGAUUAGAGUUUGAACUCUUAUUGUCCUUUAAUGUUCAGAAGCAAGCAGGCUAGUUUCUUUAUUACCUGCUUCAAGAUUGAACAGAUAACCAACAAAGUUAAAACAAGAUAUAGUAGAGAAGUGUGCUAUGAAGGAGAAAAUUGAAGGAGAUACAAGUUAUACAUUGGAACGAAUGAGAUUUCAAUUGUCGUCACAAAACCUGCCAUAUUUUUUUUCCUCAUGAUAUGGGUUUAUUGUAUUGCUUUUGGAUAAUUUGGAUCUUUAUUAUAGUACAUGUGGAUAUUCAUAUUUGAUU
RNAcentral lists this long non-coding RNA (1018 nucleotides) under Helianthus annuus (common sunflower). RNAcentral describes it as "hypothetical non coding rna". The record is from RNAcentral. Lineage: Eukaryota; Viridiplantae; Streptophyta; Magnoliopsida; Asterales; Asteraceae.